GACGAACGCUGGCGGCGUGCCUAAUACAUGCAAGUCGAACGAACCGCGACUAGGUGCUUGCACUUGGUCAAGGUGAGUGGCGAACGGGUGAGUAACACGUGGGUAACCUACCUCAUAGUGGGGGAUAACAGUCGGAAACGACUGCUAAUACCGCAUAGGACAUAGGAUCACAUGAUUCUGUGAGGAAAGGUGGCGCAAGCUAUCGCUAAGAGAUGGACCCGCGGUGCAUUAGCUAGUUGGUAGGGUAAAGGCCUACCAAGGCGAUGAUGCAUAGCCGACCUGAGAGGGUGAUCGGCCACAUUGGGACUGAGACCCGGCCCAAACUCCUACGGGAGGCAGCAGUAGGGAAUCUUCCGCAAUGGACGCAAGUCUGACGGAGCAACGCCGCGUGAGUGAAGAAGGUCUUCGGAUCGUAAAGCUCUGUUGUUAGAGAAGAACAGCGCAUAGAGUAACUGUUAUGCGUGUGACGGUAUCUAACCAGAAAGCCACGGCUAACUACGU
This 501-nucleotide ribosomal RNA is filed under the name uncultured bacterium. Its description in RNAcentral is "partial 16S ribosomal RNA". It matches the Rfam family "Bacterial small subunit ribosomal RNA", at positions 28 to 506 of the family's 1533-position model. The record is from RNAcentral.